GGCGGCCUCAGAAUCUCAUCUCUGCUUUUCUUAGAUGAUGUGGUUCUGUUGGCUUUAGC
RNAcentral lists this microRNA precursor (59 nucleotides) under Oreochromis niloticus (Nile tilapia). RNAcentral's name for it is "microRNA oni-mir-10697b precursor (oni-mir-10697b-1, oni-mir-10697b-2)". Lineage: Eukaryota; Metazoa; Chordata; Actinopteri; Cichliformes; Cichlidae. The record is from miRBase by way of RNAcentral.